AACUUAAACUGGGUAAAAUAUAUAUUUGUGUAUUGCAUCUUGUAAUUAGUUUCAGCCUCGUAAAGUGAAGUUCGUUUGCCUCCGGAAUCCAGCGUCACCAUCUGUUGUGUUGAUUGGAAGCAGAAGGAAAUGGAGGAGCUAAAAUCAUUCGUCGAUGCGGAAACAUAAGAAAAACUUGAAGAUGCGAAAAUAGAUGACAACUCUCUUUGUAUGCUCAACAACCAAGACAUGAUUGAGAUUGGUCUUGAACUUGGUCCACGGAAAAUAAUCCAAGAAUACAUAGCUCGUUUGAAGACACUUUCUCAACCAGGACCAUCAACUAAGAAAUCUCAACCGAAGGAAAAUCAUCAGGGUACAUUGUCAUCACCGACUACUGUUUUACAAAAAAAAACUGUCUGGUUCAGCCGACAUACGUGCAACACUUGAGAAAAGCAAACCAUUCAGAGGAAUAUUUUACAACAAACUGCUAGCAGGUAUUACACCGAAGCGUAAUGAGAUUUGCCUAAUGGUUCGUCUACUAUGCCACGGCAGGUUUUAUGAUGAUCUAAUCGACAAGAACAAACAACCAGGAAUACUAGAGAAGCACCAACUUGCUCUGGAUAUACUGGAGGCCUUUCCACAUCUGCAGAGUACUCGUCCGUUGGAGUUCGCUCCCCCAGAGGCUGCUUAUUUUGGUGCAACGGUGGCAAAGGGCCCGGUCAUCAUCAUACCGGAUUCAUCGAAAAUAGGAUGAACAACAUGCGUAAAGAAGUGCCGAAGGAUAAGCGGAAAUUUCGUCGCACAGUUAAACUUGCACCCAACGUGGAUGAGGCGGACCGCGAGAAAUCAAAAUUGUGUGCUGCUCUGGCAGCAAACACCGACAACAUCAAGCAAAUUGGAGAUUUAAUGAAAGAUUAAUUUGAUUACUACAGAAUGUUGCUUUUCACUAAUUCGGCACCCACAUGCAUUCUGGACACAUUUCCACAUUUGUGCUCAUUUAGCGGUAUA
Armigeres subalbatus is the source of this 987-nucleotide long non-coding RNA. RefSeq lists it as uncharacterized. The transcript is spliced from 6 exons. NCBI's taxonomy places the organism in Eukaryota, Metazoa, Arthropoda, Insecta, Diptera, Culicidae. The record is from RefSeq and is a predicted model, not a curated record.